Molecule: ribosomal RNA, 425 nt
Filed under: uncultured bacterium
Lineage: Bacteria
Description: bacterial SSU rRNA
Rfam family: Bacterial small subunit ribosomal RNA
Source: RNAcentral
UCGAGAAUCUUCGGCAAUGGGGGUAACCCUGACCGAGCGACGCCGCGUGCGAGAUGAAGGCCUUCGGGUUGUAAAUCGCUGUCAGUGGGGAGGAAAUGCCGGUGGGUUCUCCCAUCGGUUUGACCUAUCCGCAGAGGAAGGACGGGCUAAGUUCGUGCCAGCAGCCGCGGUAAGACGAACCGUCCAAACGUUAUUCGGAAUCACUGGGCUUAAAGGGUGCGUAGGCGGUCCGGAAAGUUGGGUGUGAAAGCCCUCGGCUCAACCGAGGAAUUGCGCCCAAAACUGCCGGGCUCGAGGAAGACAGAGGUGAGCGGAACUUAGGGUGGAGCGGUGAAAUGCGUUGAUAUCCUAAGGAACACCAGUAGCGAAAGCGGCUCACUGGGUCUUUUCUGACGCUGAUGCACGAAAGCUAGGGGAGCGAAGAG